RNAcentral lists this ribosomal RNA (301 nucleotides) under uncultured bacterium. Its description in RNAcentral is "partial 16S ribosomal RNA". It matches the Rfam family "Bacterial small subunit ribosomal RNA", at positions 509 to 807 of the family's 1533-position model. The record is from RNAcentral.
CAGCAGCCGCGGUAAUACAGAGGGUGCGAGCGUUAAUCGGAUUUACUGGGCGUAAAGCGUGCGUAGGCGGCUUCUUAAGUCGGAUGUGAAAUCCCUGAGCUUAACUUAGGAAUUGCAUUCGAUACUGGGAAGCUAGAGUAUGGGAGAGGAUGGUAGAAUUCCAGGUGUAUCGGUGAAAUGCGUAGAGAUCUGGAGGAAUACCGAUGGCGAAGGCAGCCAUCUGGCCUAAUACUGACGCUGAGGUACGAAAGCAUGGGGAGCAAACAGGAUUAGAUACCCGCGUAGUCCCUGUCUCUUAUAC